GAUGAACGCUGGCGGCGUGCCUAAUACAUGCAAGUCGAGCGAACGGACGAGAAGCUUGCUUCUCUGUUGUUAGCGGCGGACGGGUGAGUAACACGUGGAUAACCUACCUAUAAGACUGGGAUAACUUCGGGAAACCGGAGCUAAUACCGGAUAAUAUUUUGAACCGCAUGGUUCAAUAGUGAAAGACGGUCUUGCUGUCACUUAUAGAUGGAUCCGCGCUGCAUUAGCUAGUUGGUAAGGUAACGGCUUACCAAGGCAACGAUGCAUAGCCGACCUGAGAGGGUGAUCGGCCACACUGGAACUGAGACACGGUCCAGACUCCUACGGGAGGCAGCAGUAGGGAAUCUUCCGCAAUGGGCGAAAGCCUGACGGAGCAACGCCGCGUGAGUGAUGAAGGUCUUCGGAUCGUAAAACUCUGUUAUUAGGGAAGAACAUAUGUGUAAGUAACUGUGCACAUCUUGACGGUACCUAAUCAGAAAGCCACGGCUAACUACGUG
RNAcentral lists this ribosomal RNA (497 nucleotides) under uncultured bacterium. RNAcentral describes it as "partial 16S ribosomal RNA". It matches the Rfam family "Bacterial small subunit ribosomal RNA", at positions 28 to 507 of the family's 1533-position model. The record is from RNAcentral.